This 534-nucleotide ribosomal RNA is filed under the name uncultured bacterium. RNAcentral describes it as "bacterial SSU rRNA". It matches the Rfam family "Bacterial small subunit ribosomal RNA", at positions 777 to 1308 of the family's 1533-position model. The record is from RNAcentral.
AAUAGAUACCCUGGUAGUCCACGCCGUAAACGUUGGGAACUAGAUGUAGGGACCAUUCCACGGUUUCUGUGUCGCAGCUAACGCAUUAAGUUCCCCGCCUGGGGAGUACGGCCGCAAGGCUAAAACUCAAAGGAAUUGACGGGGGCCCGCACAAGCGGCGGAGCAUGCGGAUUAAUUCGAUGCAACGCGAAGAACCUUACCAAGGCUUGACAUAUACGAGAACGGGCCAGAAAUGGUCAACUCUUUGGACACUCGUAAACAGGUGGUGCAUGGUUGUCGUCAGCUCGUGUCGUGAGAUGUUGGGUUAAGUCCCGCAACGAGCGCAACCCUCGUUCUAUGUUGCCAGCACGUCAUGGUGGGAACUCAUAGGAGACUGCCGGGGUCAACUCGGAGGAAGGUGGGGAUGACGUCAAAUCAUCAUGCCCCUUAUGUCUUGGGCUUCACGCAUGCUACAAUGGCCGAUACAAAGGGCGUGCAAUACCGUAAGGUGGAGCGAAUCCCAAAAAGUCGGUCUCAGUUCGGAUUGAGGUCUGC